This 29-nucleotide non-coding RNA is filed under the name Mus musculus (house mouse). The record is from RNAcentral. Lineage: Eukaryota; Metazoa; Chordata; Mammalia; Rodentia; Muridae.
UGCCAACUGACUUCUCUCCGAUGCCCAGA